This 766-nucleotide ribosomal RNA is filed under the name Bacillus subtilis. RNAcentral's name for it is "bacterial SSU rRNA". It matches the Rfam family "Bacterial small subunit ribosomal RNA", at positions 65 to 813 of the family's 1533-position model. The record is from RNAcentral. Lineage: Bacteria; Bacillati; Bacillota; Bacilli; Caryophanales; Bacillaceae.
AGCGGACAGAUGGGAGCUUGCUCCCUGAUGUUAGCGGCGGACGGGUGAGUAACACGUGGGUAACCUGCCUGUAAGACUGGGAUAACUCCGGGAAACCGGGGCUAAUACCGGAUGGUUGUUUGAACCGCAUGGUUCAAACAUAAAAGGUGGCUUCGGCUACCACUUACAGAUGGACCCGCGGCGCAUUAGCUAGUUGGUGAGGUAACGGCUCACCAAGGCAACGAUGCGUAGCCGACCUGAGAGGGUGAUCGGCCACACUGGGACUGAGACACGGCCCAGACUCCUACGGGAGGCAGCAGUAGGGAAUCUUCCGCAAUGGACGAAAGUCUGACGGAGCAACGCCGCGUGAGUGAUGAAGGUUUUCGGAUCGUAAAGCUCUGUUGUUAGGGAAGAACAAGUACCGUUCGAAUAGGGCGGUACCUUGACGGUACCUAACCAGAAAGCCACGGCUAACUACGUGCCAGCAGCCGCGGUAAUACGUAGGUGGCAAGCGUUGUCCGGAAUUAUUGGGCGUAAAGGGCUCGCAGGCGGUUUCUUAAGUCUGAUGUGAAAGCCCCCGGCUCAACCGGGGAGGGUCAUUGGAAACUGGGGAACUUGAGUGCAGAAGAGGAGAGUGGAAUUCCACGUGUAGCGGUGAAAUGCGUAGAGAUGUGGAGGAACACCAGUGGCGAAGGCGACUCUCUGGUCUGUAACUGACGCUGAGGAGCGAAAGCGUGGGGAGCGAACAGGAUUAGAUACCCUGGUAGUCCACGCCGUAAACGAUGAG